CGCCCCAUCUACUAAUUGGUCAGGUAGUCACAUUCUCAGUGUGAAAUACGGGUUCAAAUCCUGUUGGGGUGA
Molecule: transfer RNA, 72 nt
Filed under: Sarcina sp. DSM 11001
Lineage: Bacteria; Bacillati; Bacillota; Clostridia; Eubacteriales; Clostridiaceae
Description: tRNA_Pseudo_CTC
Rfam family: tRNA
About the family: Transfer RNA (tRNA) molecules are approximately 80 nucleotides in length. Their secondary structure includes four short double-helical elements and three loops (D, anti-codon, and T loops).
Source: RNAcentral